CGGGAAACUGGGGAUAAUACCCCAUAGACUAUGGAUGCUGGAAUGCUGGGUAGUCGAAAGGUCCGCCGCCGUAGGAUGGGUCUGCGGCCGAUUAGGUUGUUGUUGGGGUAACGGCCCAACAAGCCUGUAAUCGGUACGGGUUGUGGGAGCAAGAGCCCGGAGAUGGAUUCUGAGACACGAAUCCAGGCCCUACGGGGCGCAGCAGGCGCGAAAACUUUACAAUGCGGGAAACCGUGCUAAGGGAACUCCGAGUGCCCGUUAACUCGGGCUGUCCAUCUGUUUCCAUACCAGGUGAAGAAAGGGCCGGGCAAGACCGGUGCCAGCCGCCGCGGUAACA
This 337-nucleotide ribosomal RNA is filed under the name uncultured archaeon. RNAcentral's name for it is "partial 16S ribosomal RNA". It matches the Rfam family "Archaeal small subunit ribosomal RNA", at positions 133 to 475 of the family's 1478-position model. The record is from RNAcentral.